Molecule: small RNA, 29 nt
Filed under: Bombyx mori (domestic silkworm)
Lineage: Eukaryota; Metazoa; Arthropoda; Insecta; Lepidoptera; Bombycidae
Description: ovarian small RNA-20041
Source: RNAcentral
UACAACAACAAGUCAAGCAACAGGGCGCC